Molecule: ribosomal RNA, 504 nt
Filed under: uncultured Geobacter sp.
Lineage: Bacteria; Pseudomonadati; Thermodesulfobacteriota; Desulfuromonadia; Geobacterales; Geobacteraceae
Description: bacterial SSU rRNA
Rfam family: Bacterial small subunit ribosomal RNA
Source: RNAcentral
ACUCCUACGGGAGGCAGCAGUGGGGAAUUUUGCGCAAUGGGGGAAACCCUGACGCAGCAACGCCGCGUGAGUGAUGAAGGCCCUUGGGUCGUAAAGCUCUGACAGAGGAAAGAAAUGCAGAGGAGCUAAUAUCUCCUUUGCUUGACGGUACCCUCAAAGGAAGCACCGGCUAACUCCGUGCCAGCAGCCGCGGUAAUACGGGGGGUGCAAGCGUUGUUCGGAUUUAUUGGGCGUAAAGCGCGUGUAGGCGGUUUUAUAAGUCUGAUGUGAAAGCCCUGGGCUCAACCCGGGAAGUGCAUUGGAUACUGUAAGACUUGAAUACGGGAGAGGGCAGUGGAAUUCCUAGUGUAGGAGUGAAAUCCGUAGAUAUUAGGAGGAACACCGGUGGCGAAGGCGGCUGCCUGGACCGAUAUUGACGCUGAGACGCGAAAGCGUGGGUAGCAAACAGGAUUAGAUACCCUGGUAGUCCACGCCGUAAACGAUGAGAACUAGGUGUCGCGGGUA